Molecule: ribosomal RNA, 419 nt
Filed under: bacterium
Lineage: Bacteria
Description: partial 16S ribosomal RNA
Rfam family: Bacterial small subunit ribosomal RNA
Source: RNAcentral
UGGGGGAUAUUGCACAAUGGGCGAAAGCCUGAUGCAGCGACGCCGCGUGGGGGAUGAAGGCCUUCGGGUUGUAAACUUCUUUUGCUCUGAACAAGGCAUGCUAAUGGGUGUGUUGAGUGUAGGGGUUGAUUAGCGCCGGCUAACUACGUGCCAGCAGCCGCGGUAAUACGUAGGGUGCGAGCGUUGUCCGGAAUUAUUGGGCGUAAAGGGCUUGUAGGUGGCUGGUUGCGUCUGUCGUGAAAGCUCAUGGCUUAACUGUGGGUUUGCGGUGGGUACGGGCUGGCUUGAGUGCAGUAGGGGAGGCUGGAAUUCCUGGUGUAGCGGUGGAAUGCGCAGAUAUCAGGAGGAAUACCGGUGGCGAAGGCGGGUCUCUGGGCUGUUACUGACACUGAGGAGCGAAAGCAUGGGGAGCGAACAGG